GUGUGUGUGUGUGAGAGAGAGAGAGAGAGUGAGAGAGAAAGAGAGAGAAAGCAUGAGAUGGUCCUGGAGUGUUUGCUUUAAAAUCAAACACACUCAGUGUGCUACAAGCUUUCACUGGCUUCUCCAGUGCUCAGGCUGGGUGAUUGGGAGGCCCAGGCAAAAGUGCACUGGGUUGAUCUGACCCAAGUCAGCACACAGAUAGACAAACAGAUGAAACCCAAACUGCUGGUCCUCCCCCCUCUAGUCCUCUGUAAAUAACAGUUUGGCCUAUAAUUAUAUAGUAAUGGGGGGGGGGGGCAACAACCUGGCCCAGCCUGGAGUAAUGGCGUCCACAAUCCAGCCUCAGAUUCUCCCCAAAGAGGGCGACUCAUUUUUCCCCAGUCUUUGAAACUGAUUUAAGUGGUCCUUUAAAACUGAUCUUGUCAGUUUAGCCCAUUGAAGGGCAGCCAUGCAAACUGUGAUCUCUCUGUUCAUUUGAGCUGUUUCUCUCUCCCCCCCCUUUUCUUCUCUCUCCCCUUUUCUCCCACUCCCCUUUAUUUUUCUUUAAAAAAAAUUUAAAUCCAGGUCUCUCCAAGAAGCAUCUUCAACUGCCCCCCACCAACCCUCCCUGUUAUCUUCAGUAAGACACUUUUCUAUUUUCUGAUAUGUGAAAAUACAAUAAGUGCCUUUGAAAUGAGAUGCUUUCUUGGUGAAGGCGGUUCAGGUUGUGACCUGACCUUUGGGGGGUUCCCUGAGACAAGACUGGGGUUAACACAUGCACAUUGUGAAUCAUUAAAACAGAUAUUUGAAAGCACCUACCAUCACCUCCACCCCUAGAACCAGGGUACACUUGCCUCCUCCUCCUCUAUCCAGGACUGCAUGUCUUCAGAAGACAUAGGUGUGUGUGCGUGUGUGUGUGUGUGUGUGUGUGUGUGUGUGUAAUUAAAGGGUCUGUUUGCCUAGGACCUAAUUCCUCCACGUUGGGACUGUGUGUCUCCCUCUGAAUCAGAUAACACGGGACCUUUAUCUCUUUGUGAGGUGACUUACAUUCUCUACUCAGGCCUCCACAAUUUGCAAAUAUUAAUAAAUUAAACUGUUAUGACAGGAUCGGGCAUUUCUUGCUUUGAAAGACUAAGCAAGGGUAAGGAUGGCAAAGAACUAACAAUGAUAUCAAGAAAAUAACAGCCAACCCCCACCCACCAGUGGAGAAUGUGGGUUAGGUGUCAAGUUGUGGGAAAGGGGUGAAUAUGCCUGAAGGCUAGGGGACUAUCUUGCCUCUACAUUUGCAUCAAGC
Perognathus longimembris pacificus (Pacific pocket mouse) is the source of this 1273-nucleotide long non-coding RNA. RefSeq lists it as uncharacterized. NCBI's taxonomy places the organism in Eukaryota, Metazoa, Chordata, Mammalia, Rodentia, Heteromyidae. The record is from RefSeq and is a predicted model, not a curated record. The transcript is spliced from 3 exons.